AUUGAACGCUGGCGGCAGGCCUAACACAUGCAAGUCGAGCGGAUGAAGGGAGCUUUCUCCUGGAUUCAGCGGCGGACGGGUGAGUAAUGCCUAGGAAUCUGCCUGGUAGUGGGGGAUAACGUCCGGAAACGGGCGCUAAUACCGCAUACGUCCUGAGGGUGAAAGUGGGGGAUCUUCGGACCUCACGCUAUCAGAUGAGCCUAGGUGGGAUUAGCUAGUUGGUGGGGUAAAGGCCUACCAAGGCGACGAUCCGUAACUGGUCUGAGAGGAUGAUCGGCCACACUGGAAAUGAGAAACGGUGCAGACACCUACGGGAGGCAGCAGGAGGGAAUGUGGCGCAAUGGGCGAAAGCUGGACGGAGCAAGGCGGCGUGAGUGAGGAAGGUCUGCGGAUCGUAAAACUUUGUUAUGAGGGAAGAACAAAUGUGUAAGUAACUAUGCACGGCUUGACGGUACCUAAUCAGAAAGACACGGCUAGCUACGUG
This 484-nucleotide ribosomal RNA is filed under the name uncultured bacterium. Its description in RNAcentral is "partial 16S ribosomal RNA". It matches the Rfam family "Bacterial small subunit ribosomal RNA", at positions 29 to 507 of the family's 1533-position model. The record is from RNAcentral.